Molecule: long non-coding RNA, 932 nt
Organism: Penaeus indicus
Lineage: Eukaryota; Metazoa; Arthropoda; Malacostraca; Decapoda; Penaeidae
Exons: 2
Source: RefSeq, a predicted model, not a curated record
UAGAAUCAUAAAUAUUAUAAUGUUAUAAACAUUACUAAUAGCAACAUAAGAUAAAAUAUAUAUAAUUAUAUUAUAUAUAUUUCUGAAACACAAGAAAUUGGGUUAAAUAGGUUAUAGAUGACAAAGUACAUGUAGGGUCAUCUGUGUGUAAAGUCAAAUGAUAAAAUAAACUCACAAUGGCCAUAGCAUGUACAUGCAGGCCAUACAGCAUUGGUUUAUAAGGACCAGAAAAAUAAGAUGAAAUGUGGUACACAAUAACGCACAAGAAAACGUUAUAAAAGGGGGUAAUGGAGAUCAGGACUUCAAUAUCCCGUGGUUUGCUGAAACAUAUAGUUUUGUAUCUAUAUUCUUGAAAUGAUAAAAAAAAAUUGUAAUACCUAUGCUCUGAUUAGAACCAAGAAAAGUUUAUAAAGAAGAGAAACACAAACAUUUUUGGAUAAUUACCCACAUUGCAAAUUAGAAAGGGUAUGUACGUACUAGCAUAUAUCUAUGCGUGUGUGUUAUUAAUCAAAAUCCCACUAUUUUCAGUUUUGCAAAUAUAGUAUAUGAAGACAAGGCUGAAGCAGAGAAGGUCUUCCGAGAAUCUGGUGUUGUUACCAUGCGUGGUUCAAAGCUGACUGUGCUUUAUAGCAGCAAAAAGAAGUCACAGGUCACGAAGAAAAACAGUGUGCGACAUGACUUAUACAAGAGAAAGGUAGAGGAGUACAAGCGGAAAAUGACCAGAAAGCUUCGGAAGUCAAACACAGAAUAGAGCUGCUCUCAUUGGACUAGGGACUUAUUUUGUAGACUUUUCAUCUGUUAUUGUUAUGUUAUGAUCUUGUGUUUGACAUUCCUGUAAGGGAGAGUAGCUGCAACAUGAAAAUGUGAAAUGGAAGUAUAUUGGCAGGUGAAAGGAGUUGUUCUUUAACAUCUAUAUAAAUAUAGUUAAGGAU